RNAcentral lists this long non-coding RNA (1052 nucleotides) under Olea europaea subsp. europaea. Lineage: Eukaryota; Viridiplantae; Streptophyta; Magnoliopsida; Lamiales; Oleaceae. The record is from RNAcentral.
GAACUAUACACAUUUUAUCAACUAAAAAUAUUUUUAUUUUCUUUAAUUCAUGUUUAUUCUCUUUAAUAGUGUCAUAUAUACUAUGUCUUUGUUUGGUAGAGAUUAAAAUCAGGCUUUUAGUAGAUUUUAAUAAAAGUUGAUAAAAUAUUUGGUUAAAAGUUGUCAUAUGAAAUAUAUAAUUAAAAUUAAUUAUUGAUUUUGAUUUAAAUUAAAAUUAAAAUUUUAAUCCCAUCAAACGGGGACUAUAUUAAUUGUUUGUAAAUAUUAACAUUGAUUCUAGAAUUUACGUCAAGUAGAGCGAUCAUUAAGUAUUAUUUUUCAAUUUGUUUUCUUUCCAUGACCCAUAACUAGCCCUUUUUCAGAGUAAACAAGAAUUCCGUAUAAAAAAAUUUGAAGAACUAUUUAAUAUUGGGAAAAUUGCAAUAGUAUUCUCUAACCUCUCACUUUUUUGCAUACUUUAUCCUAACUUUCAGUUUUUACCCGCAGAGAUUCCAAACCUUUGAGAAAUUAGCAAUUGAAGUCCAAAUGGAUGAAUUUGACAAUUAGUUGAUCAGAAGAGUUGAUUAUGACCAAAUUCUAAAAGAAUAAAAUGAUAACUUUGCAAUUUUAAUAUAAAAUAAAUAAAGAAAGAAAGAAAAAAACACAGCUAUCUAUCUAUUUCUUCUCUCCCAAAUCACAAUCACGGAUCAUUUUCUCUGUAGAACAACACUAUGAUUUCUUAUUUUUUUCAGAGCUUAGAUCUCUCUCCCUAGCUUUCUAUAGUUCUUCUAUUUUUUUCCCAAAUCUCUCCGGCCAUCUUCUUUCACAUAUAUAGGGAUUUCUUAGAACUUAGCGUCUGAAGAUGGGUUCUACGAACUUAGAUCUGCAUAGCAUAAUCUAUCCGGAAUCGAUCGACCAUUAUGAUAUGCUGCCAAAUUCUAUUAUUCCUUUGAUCUUUAACAACGAACGAGAUCUUUUAGUACUUGAAACAAAGACGUCGAGGUAUGUCCUCGUCGUCCUUCUGAUACUUAAGUCAAAUAGAGAAUUUAUGUAUGAGAUUAUGAACUGAAAAU